CUACAAACUAGUGGACAUAGAAUGUUCUUGCAUGAUUUUUUUUCUUUAUUCUUUUUUCAGGUGUGUUGCUACCUCUAAGGCCACGGAAGGGCUCGAAGUCUCUCCCAGAUGGCAGAGAGGAAGAAGAGAAGCAGGCUUAAGAAAGCAACCCAAUGAAGAAAUUUGAAACGAUUGAGAUCGGGCCUGUGGGGAAAGCAGGCUGCCGCCUUGAAAGGGGUGCCGUCCCUUGGGGAAUCACAGCCCAGGGACACGGAAGUGGCCAGCCCAGGCCGGGCAGAAGGGGAGCAGAAGACCUGCUACGACACAGUUCCACAGCGGCCUCAGCACCCACCCGCCCUCUCUCCUCAUCAAUUCGCAGUCCCAGCUUCUGCACCAAGUCUCAGCUUUCCCGAGAAGCAGCUUUGGGUGUUUUAGCAAUCGUUUUGGGGCCUCCUCUGACUGCUGUCAGAAGCUGUUGGUGGUGCAAGAGAAAGGAGCCAGCAUGUUCACCUGCCCAGUUGCGGAAGUGUGGGCUGAUGCUACAGGCAGUGAGCUUUAAGAACUGCAGAUUUUAUAUUUUUCUGAACACCCAGCAUCACAGAGCAGGGGCGCGAGAGGACACAGCAGAGCAAACGAGGCUGGAGAAAAUAGGAUGCAAACCUUCUUAUUUGAGGUAAUUUUUUAACCAUUUUAUAAAUACAUCAAUGUUCCUAUCACUACAAGAUGGAACAAUAAAUAAUUGAAAUAAAUAAAUAACUAAUAACAGAAUCACAAUUUAGUGAGGAAAACACAAACCCUACAACCAUUUGGGAAAUUCUGUGUAUUCCAUCAACUCUAACCCCAACUGGACAUGUGACCCAAGCCAUUCUCCUUUGCUCAUCUGCGGAUUCGUUUGUUUUCAGUUAUUACAACCAAGUACCCGAGUCAGGCUGCUUUAUAAAGAAAAGAGGUUUAUUUAGUUCACAGUACUGAAGAUUCAAGGGCAUGGAUGGUAUUGGCAUCAGCCCAGCUCUGCUGAAAUUCUCAUGAUGGGUGGCAUCCUGGUGCAGGAAGAGUCUAGGGAAAGGAGAGAGGUUGGACAGGACAAGAAGCCAGCAUGACGGGGGCCCAAGAGUUAGGAGCAGACCCCAGGACCUAAGGACCUUCCCCUCGUGCCCUGCCUCUUAAAGGGCCCAGCACCUCUUACCUUGCUGUGAACUGAGUCUCCAAUAGGUGAGCCCACGGGGCACCCUUCAAUCACACCCAAGCCGUGGCCUCUCUACCAGUAAAAAUAGAAACCAUUUAUUCAUAAUUUCAGGUGAGAUGAUCGAUUACACCUUUUAAAAUUAGAGACUAAGAUAAUUCAGCUCAAUAAAGAUUCUGAAAUUGCACCUGUGCUAGAUUCUUCAUGAGGACUGUGUGUGCCUGCGUGCAGUCUAGUAAAUCACGAAGCAAAACAAAUCAGAAGAAGGAAGGUAGAAUUAAAAUUGGAUCCAACUGGAUUCGUGCCAGCUGAGGGCUGCAGCAGGGGACCUGCCCAGGCGAGGAAGGGGUGACAGCUGGGCGGAACGGUGACAAGCAUGAGGGGCUCCCCGCCGCCGGGACGGCAGCCUAGGGUUGGGGCCUGAAGCUGUGGAGAGCAGCAUGCGUUGGGGCAACCAAAAGACAUGCAGCGUGGUUACAGCUGAAAGCCAGAGUGGUGUGAGGCCCAGUGCUGCCUGCCUCCUCCAUCCCAAUUCGAGGCCAGCCUGGGCAGUUUAGCAAGACUUUGUCUCAAAAUAAAAAAGCAAACGGGCCCGGGAGGAGCCCAGCAGUAGAGCAGUUUGCCUCAUAUGUGCACAGCCUGGGUUCCAGCACCAGGGCCGACACCGUAGAUGAGCUUGGGUACAGAGUGGGCAGCCGGAUGCGGCUCAGGAGGUCCGUUUAGGGCUGGAGCAGAGCACGCUGGCGAAGGGCUUGCGAGGGUCCACGGCCAGCUUUGGGCCGCUGCAAUGGCUCCGUGGGGGCCGGGGGGGGGCGGUGGUGAAGGAGAGAAGCAGGCAGAAGGGUGAGUGUCCGGACCGGGAGAACAGCUCCAGUUCCUGGAAGGAUGGUGCUGUCAUGUCCUGAUGGGAAAUCUGAGGGGCGGGGGUGCUGUCCAGUGGCCAGCUGGGUGUUUGUGUCACUAAAUAAAUAAUGAGAGCUAAAAAAUACAAUUGUGAUCCAGGUGUGGUGGCACCUGCCUGUGAUCCAGCACUGGAGAGGCUGAGGCAGGAGGAUCAUUGCAAGUUUGAGGCCAGCCUGAGCUACACAGGGAGUUCAAGGCCAACCUGAACUAUGCAGCAAGGAAAAAAAAAAAAAAAAAAAAAAAAAACGAACUGGANNNNNNNNNNNNNNNNNNNNNNNNNNGAGAAGCCCUUCAGGCCUAAAAGAGAGCAAAGAAAAAAAAAAAAAAAAAAAAAAAAAAAGGAACUGGGAGUGUCCCUGCGCCAGGAUCAGAGCUAAAGGGACCUCAGGAGAGGUUUAGUGCGAGAAAAGGGAAUGAUCUUUAGAAAUUCUAGCCUUUGAGGUUUAGAGAGGGGAGAAUGGAGCUGGGAAGGAGCCAAAACAUAGUCCUGACUGCAACUCCAGCUUUCCAAAGUUUGGGAUACCUCUGUUUCCUUUGCUGGCAGAAAAACAUUAUUUCACAUUCUCAAAGCUUUGAAAUCUGAAUCAAAACAAAUCUAGAUGGUCCCUCGUGGUUGUAAAACUUUUAGCUGCACAGUGCUGUGUUGCUUUACAAACCCAUAGACCACGUCCCUCCCCUAUUUAAAAUCAUUCCGAGUUACCUUGUCAUUUUUUUAAUUCCCAUUUUUUCAGUUACAGUGAGGCUGGGCACCUUUUCCUUUCCUUGUGCAAGUAGGUAGGUGGGAGCCAGCAGCAGUCACAGG
Molecule: long non-coding RNA, 2867 nt
Filed under: Fukomys damarensis (Damara mole-rat)
Lineage: Eukaryota; Metazoa; Chordata; Mammalia; Rodentia; Bathyergidae
Description: lncRNA (ENSFDAG00000032785.1)
Source: RNAcentral